RNAcentral lists this ribosomal RNA (1192 nucleotides) under human gut metagenome. Its description in RNAcentral is "bacterial LSU rRNA". It matches the Rfam family "Bacterial large subunit ribosomal RNA", at positions 698 to 1980 of the family's 2925-position model. The record is from RNAcentral.
AGUUAGUUGACGUAGACCCGAAACCGGGCGACCUAUGCAUGGGCAGGUUGAAGCGAAAGUAAAAUUUCGUGGAGGACCGAACCCACGAGCGUUGAAAAGCUCGGGGAUGACUUGUGGAUAGCGGUGAAAUUCCAAUCGAGCCUGGAGAUAGCUGGUUCUCCCCGAAAUAGCUUUAGGGCUAGCCUCAAGCUUAGAGAAACGGAGGUAGAGCACUGAAUGUCCUAGGGGGUAUUGCACUUACCGAAGACUAUCAAACUCCGAAUGCCGUAUUCUUUUGCUUGGGAGUCAGACUAUGGGUGAUAAGAUUCAUAGUCAAGAGGGCAACAGCCCAGAUCGUCAGCUAAGGUCCCUAAAUGUAAGUUAAGUGGUAAAGGAUGUGGAAUUGCACAGACAACCAGGAUGUUGGCUUAGAAGCAGCCACUCAUUAAAAGAGUGCGUAAUAGCUCACUGGUCGAGUGACUCUGCGCCGAAAAUUUAACGGGGCUAAACUAUACACCGAAGCUUGGGAUACAUCUAAUGUAUGGUAGGAGAGCGUUCUGUAUGGGGAGAAGUCGUAGCGAAAGCGGCGGUGGACUGUACAGAAGUGAGAAUGCCGGAAUAAGUAGCGAGAAUUAAGUGAGAAUCUUAAUGGCCGAAAGUCUAAGGUUUUUGGAGGAAGGUUCGUCCGCUCCAAGUAAGUCGGGAGCUAAGGUCAGGCCGAAAGGCGUAGCCGAUGCACAUACGGUUGAUAUUCCGUAACCAUCUGUAAUUUAAGCAAAGGGACACUUUAAAAGGGUGUGACCCGGGCGUUGGUUGACCCGGGCGUAAGGGACCGAAAUUAGAGUAGGGAAGCACACUUGGCUGAAGGCGAGAAAAGCUUUGCGUAUAGAAACAGAUGCCCGUACCGCAAACCGACACAGGUGGACAGGAAGAGAAUUCUAAGGCCAGCGGGAGAAGGGUAGUUAAGGAACUCGGCAAAUUGACUCCGUAACUUCGGAAUAAGGAGUGCUCGAAAGAGCCGCAGAGAAUAGGCCCAGGCGACUGUUUAGCAAAAACACAGGUCUCUGCCAAAUCGAAAGAUGAAGUAUAGGGGCUGACACCUGCCCGGUGCCGGAAGGUUAAGAGGAGGAGUGAGAGCUCCGAAUUGAAGCCCCGGUAAACGGCGGCCGUAACUAUAACGGUCCUAAGGUAGCGAAAUUCCUUGUCAGGUAAG